This is a small nucleolar RNA of Sorex fumeus (smoky shrew), 132 nucleotides long. Lineage: Eukaryota; Metazoa; Chordata; Mammalia; Eulipotyphla; Soricidae. The record is from RefSeq and is a predicted model, not a curated record.
GCAAGAAAUGAACAUUGUUGUAGGGCUGCUCCCCUGUUCUAGUAAUUAAACUUUGAGACAUUAAGACAUGAGUUACGGGAGAUGAUUGGGUAGUAAGCAUUUCUCUAUUCAUUUCCCUCCUGGCCUACAAUA